Molecule: ribosomal RNA, 253 nt
Filed under: uncultured bacterium
Lineage: Bacteria
Description: partial 16S ribosomal RNA
Rfam family: Bacterial small subunit ribosomal RNA
Source: RNAcentral
UACGGGGGGAGCAAGCGUUGUUCGGAUUUACUGGGCGUAAAGGGCGCGUAGGCGGCCGCCUAAGUCAGACGUGAAAUCCCUCGGCUCAACCGGGGAACUGCGUCUGAUACUGGGUGGCUAGAAUCCGGGAGAGGGAUGCGGAAUUCCAGGUGUAGCGGUGAAAUGCGUAGAUAUCUGGAGGAACACCGGUGGCGAAGGCGGCAUCCUGGACCGGCAUUGACGCUGAGGCGCGAAAGCCAGGGGAGCAAACGGG